GACGAACGCUGGCGGCGUGCCUAAUACAUGCAAGUUGAGCGCUGAAGGUUGGUACUUGUACCAACUGGAUGAGCAGCAAACGGGUGAGUAACGCGUGGGGAAUCUGCCUUUGAGCGGGGGACAACAUUUGGAAACGAAUGCUAAUACCGCAUAAAAACUUUAAUCACAAGUUUUAAGUUUGAAAGAUGCAAUUGCAUCACUCAAAGAUGAUCCCGCGUUGUAUUAGCUAGUUGGUGAGGUAAAGGCUCACCAAGGCGAUGAUACAUAGCCGACCUGAGAGGGUGAUCGGCCACAUUGGGACUGAGACACGGCCCAAACUCCUACGGGAGGCAGCAGUAGGGAAUCUUCGGCAAUGGACGAAAGUCUGACCGAGCAACGCCGCGUGAGUGAAGAAGGUUUUCGGAUCGUAAAACUCUGUUGGUAGAGAAGAACGUUGGUGAGAGUGGAAAGCUCAUCAAGUGACGGUAACUACCCAGAAAGGGACGGCUAACUACGUG
This 497-nucleotide ribosomal RNA is filed under the name uncultured bacterium. RNAcentral describes it as "partial 16S ribosomal RNA". It matches the Rfam family "Bacterial small subunit ribosomal RNA", at positions 28 to 507 of the family's 1533-position model. The record is from RNAcentral.